Molecule: ribosomal RNA, 839 nt
Filed under: Schistocerca lineata (birdwing grasshopper)
Lineage: Eukaryota; Metazoa; Arthropoda; Insecta; Orthoptera; Acrididae
Description: partial 16S ribosomal RNA
Source: RNAcentral
UUAUUUAUUUUAUUAUAUUUAUUUUUUGUUUAUUUAAUUAUUUAAUAAAAAUAAUUUUAUUGAAUUUUGUCUUAGUAUAUUUUGUAGAAUUGAUUUUUUAAAUUAUAGUUUAUUGGUAAUGUAAUUGUUUUAUGAAAUAUUAUUUUAAAUUUUUAAAAGUAUAUUUUAUUUAUUGUACCUUUUGUAUCAGGGUUUAUCAAAAUUUUAGUAUUUAAUUUACUUGUCUCGAUUUGGGUUGAUUUAUAAAUAAUUUAUAGUUAAUGUAUCAUAAUUAUUAUUAAAUUAUUUAUGGAAAUGAAAUGUUAAUCGUUUCCCAAGAUAUCUAGUUUCUUAAGAAAAAUUUUAAUUUUUUAAAGUUAAUUGUUUUUAUUUAAUUUUUUAAUUAUAAAUAUUAACUUAUUUAUUCUUUAAGGGAUAAGCUUUGAAGUUAAUAACCUAUAAUUUGUUUUAUAAAAUAUAAUAGUAAGCUUUAAACCAGCUAUCCUUAAGAUUACGUUUUAGUUCAUUAUUUUCUAUUUUGAUUUUAUAAUUAUUUUAGGUUUUUUAUUAGGAUUAUUUAUUUAAUUUUAAAAUUUUUGUAAUAAUGAUAGAAUUAGUAUAUUUACUUGUAUAUAAUUUUUACCUUGUGAAUUUAUAAUAAGGAACUAGGCAAAAUUGAUUUCCGCCUGUUUAUCAAAAACAUGUCCUCUUGAAAAUACUUUGAGGUCUGGCCUGCUCACUGAGCGGAUUUUUAAAGAGCCGCGGUAUUUUGACCGUGCAAAGGUAGCAUAAUCAUUAGUCUCUUAAUUAGUGSCUGGAAUGAAUSCCUUCASGAGAAAUCAACUUCUCUUAAUAAAUUU